AUACGUAGGGGGCAAGCGUUAUCCGGAUUUACUGGGUGUAAAGGGAGCGUAGACGGAAUGGCAAGUCUGAUGUGAAAGGCCGGGGCUCAACCCCGGGACUGCAUUGGAAACUGUCAGGCUAGAGUGCAGGAGGGGUAAGCGGAAUUCCUAGUGUAGCGGUGAAAUGAGUAGAUAUUAGGAGGAACACCGGUGGCGAAGGCGUAUUCAGGGACGGUAACAGACGUUGAGGCUCGAAAGCGUGGGGAGCAAACAUGAUGAAAUACCCUGGUAGUCCACGCCGUAAACGAUGAUUACUAGGUGUUGGGAGACAAUAGUUUCUCGGUGCCGCAGCAAACGCAAUAAGUAUUCCACCUGGGGAGUACGGUCGCAAGAAUGAAACUCAAAUGAAUUGACGGGG
Molecule: ribosomal RNA, 397 nt
Filed under: uncultured bacterium
Lineage: Bacteria
Description: partial 16S ribosomal RNA
Rfam family: Bacterial small subunit ribosomal RNA
Source: RNAcentral